Molecule: long non-coding RNA, 722 nt
Filed under: Elaeis guineensis (African oil palm)
Lineage: Eukaryota; Viridiplantae; Streptophyta; Magnoliopsida; Arecales; Arecaceae
Description: long non-coding RNA (EGUI_LNC023051)
Source: RNAcentral
CAAAUGAAAAAGGAGGUCGAACAAGCCUUUUUGGCAUGGAAAUAAUUUAGGGUACUUCCCUUUUGUCACACAUAAUAGAGACCUUUCACAAAGUUUCUAUGUGUAGGAGGAUAAGGAUAUAAUUUUAGGUUUAAAUUCAAACGUUUUGAAUUCAACUUAAAACCAACCUAAUCCUAUCACUAAUGGGUGACAAUGGGAGGGCUUUGACAUGAAUUAUUCAGUAUACAAAAUAAUUUGUGUGAUGAAAGAAGGCAUAGAGAGAAGGGGAGGCGCAAAGGGAGAGAGAGUUUCAUUCAUUUGGGACUCUAGGAUUUAGCUAAUUGGAUUUCUUUCAAACCCAAUCCAAUUAGAUCCAAAUAAAAUAUGAUAAACCUAAUCUAAUUAGACUCCUAUAGCCUUAAUUAAAUGUGAUCAAAUCAGCAAAUUAAUUGAGUCAUAGACCCAAUCAAAUUAGGAUCAAUUCUCCCUUACCUAUUAGGUCAUCUCAUAAUCUAAUCAAAUCUGACUUGAUUGAAUCCAAUUCAAUCAGACUUGAUCCAGACUUUAAUGCUCAAUCAAAUUAAGUUAAUUAGUGAUCUAAUCACUGACUAAUCUUUCAUUAAUGAUAAAGUCCCAAUCCAGUAGGACUCUUUACUAGCAUCUCCGUCUAGUGGGACUCUUGAGAUUAGCUAUCCGAUCGGAGAGGAACUUCUAAUGUGUGUGACUCCAUAGGUUUGAACCUA